AGGUCCUUAGCUCAGUCGGUAGAGCAACAGCCUUUUAAGCUGAUGGUCAGGGGUUCGAUUCCCCUAGGGCCUACCA
Molecule: transfer RNA, 76 nt
Filed under: bacterium
Lineage: Bacteria
Also listed under: 1 other name
Description: tRNA-Lys
Rfam family: tRNA
About the family: Transfer RNA (tRNA) molecules are approximately 80 nucleotides in length. Their secondary structure includes four short double-helical elements and three loops (D, anti-codon, and T loops). Further hydrogen bonds mediate the characteristic L-shaped molecular structure. tRNAs have two regions of fundamental functional importance: the anti-codon, which is responsible for specific mRNA codon recognition, and the 3' end, to which the tRNAs corresponding amino acid is attached (by aminoacyl-tRNA synthetases). tRNAs cope with the degeneracy of the genetic code in two manners: having more than one tRNA (with a specific anti-codon) for a particular amino acid; and 'wobble' base-pairing, i.e. permitting non-standard base-pairing at the 3rd anti-codon position.
Source: RNAcentral